Molecule: ribosomal RNA, 492 nt
Filed under: uncultured bacterium
Lineage: Bacteria
Description: partial 16S ribosomal RNA
Rfam family: Bacterial small subunit ribosomal RNA
Source: RNAcentral
GAUGAACGCUAGCUACAGGCUUAACACAUGCAAGUCGAGGGGAAACGACAUCGAAAGCUUGCUUUUGAUGGGCGUCGACCGGCGCACGGGUGAGUAACGCGUAUCCAACCUGCCCAUCACUUGGGAAUAACCUUGCGAAAGUAAGACUAAUACCCAAUGACAUCCCACGAAGACAUCUGAAUGGGAUUAAAGAUUUAUCGGUGAUGGAUGGGGAUGCGUCUGAUUAGCUUGUUGGCGGGGUAACGGCCCACCAAGGCAACGAUCAGUAGGGGUUCUGAGAGGAAGGUCCCCCACAUUGGAACUGAGACACGGUCCAAACUCCUACGGGAGGCAGCAGUGAGGAAUAUUGGUCAAUGGGCGAGAGCCUGAACCAGCCAAGUAGCGUGCAGGAUGACGGCCCUAUGGGUUGUAAACUGCUUUUAUAAGGGAAUAAAGCGGGUCUCGUGAGACUUUUUGCAUGUACCUUAUGAAUAAGAACCGGCUAAUUCCGUG